RNAcentral lists this unclassified non-coding RNA (353 nucleotides) under uncultured fungus. RNAcentral's name for it is "partial contains small subunit ribosomal RNA, internal transcribed spacer 1, and 5.8S ribosomal RNA". The stretch from base 1 to 73 matches the Rfam family "Eukaryotic small subunit ribosomal RNA", at positions 1759 to 1831 of the family's 1831-position model. The record is from RNAcentral. Lineage: Eukaryota; Fungi.
UCAAACUUGGUCAUUUAGAGGAAGUAAAAGUCGUAACAAGGUUUCCGUAGGUGAACCUGCGGAAGGAUCAUUACCGAGUUAGGGUCUCCUUCGUGAGGCCCGACCUCCCAACCCUGUGUCUAAUAAACCUAUACGUGUUGCUUCGGCGGACCGGCAGUUCUUAACUGAGCCGUCGCCGGGGGAGAACGGUCUCACGACCACCCCUGGAGAGUGUCCGUCGAUGGCCCAACCAAAAACUCCCAAAAACAAAAUAUGAUAACUAUAACUUCUGAAUCAGACCUCUUGAUAUACCAAUCAAAAACAAAACUUUCAACAACGGAUCUCUUGGUUCUGGCAUCGAUGAAGAACGCAGC